Molecule: long non-coding RNA, 310 nt
Filed under: Numida meleagris (helmeted guineafowl)
Lineage: Eukaryota; Metazoa; Chordata; Aves; Galliformes; Numididae
Description: lncRNA (ENSNMEG00000008825.1)
Source: RNAcentral
UAGAAACUCAGCUCCUUGCUGUGAGGUCUUUACAGCUCGUUUGGCCUCUGAGUUCCUCAUUUAUAAAAUUAGGACUGAAGUGUACAUGGAGGCCAAUGUACAUGGACCCCAAUACCCCACUGAAGACUUGGUGCAUGCAUGCAGAGAGUCCUGGAAGUAUCUACGGUGUGCUCAGAAAAAGGCAGGAGGAAGGAUGCUGUCUGUGCACAGCUUUGGUCUGCUGAUGAGGUCUGACUGCAAGAGAAUCCCAGUGGCAAUGAACUGAUGUGGUUGUGUUGUAUUUUUAAGGUGGGAUCAAAUUUCUUUAUUU